RNAcentral lists this ribosomal RNA (248 nucleotides) under uncultured Microbacteriaceae bacterium. RNAcentral's name for it is "partial 16S ribosomal RNA". It matches the Rfam family "Bacterial small subunit ribosomal RNA", at positions 356 to 616 of the family's 1533-position model. Lineage: Bacteria; Bacillati; Actinomycetota; Actinomycetes; Micrococcales; Microbacteriaceae. The record is from RNAcentral.
GGGGAAUAUUGCACAAUGGGCGCAAGCCUGAUGCAGCAACGCCGCGUGAGGGACGACGGCCUUCGGGUUGUAAACCUCUUUUAGUAGGGAAGAAGCGAAAGUGACGGUACCUGCAGAAAAAGCACCGGCUAACUACGUGCCAGCAGCCGCGGUAAUACGUAGGGUGGAAGCGUUGUCCGGAAUUAUUGGGCGUAAAGAGCUCGUAGGCGGUUGGUCGCGUCUGCUGGGUAAUUCCGUGGCUCAACCUC